GCCGCGUGCAGGAUGACGGUCUUAUGGAUUGUAAACUGUUUUUAUACGAGAAAAAACACUGUUUUCGUGAAGCAGCUUGACGGUAUCGUAAGAAUAAGGAUCGGCUAACUCCGUGCCAGCAGCCGCGGUAAUACGGAGGAUCCAAGCGUUAUCCGGAAUCAUUGGGUUUAAAGGGUCCGUAGGCGGUUUAGUAAGUCAGUGGUGAAAGCCCAUCGCUCAACGGUGGAACGGCCAUUGAUACUGCUAAACUUGAAUUAUUAGGAAGUAACUAGAAUAUGUAGUGUAGCGGUGAAAUGCUUAGAGAUUACAUGGAAUACCAAUUGCGAAGGCAGGUUACUACUAAUGGAUUGACGCUGAUGGACGAAAGCGUGGGUAGCGUACAGGAUUAGAUACCCUGGUAGUCCACGCCGUAAACGAUGGAUACUAGCUGUUGGAAGCAAUUUCAGUGGCUAAGCGAAAGUGAUAAGUAUCCCACCUGGGGAGUACGUUCGCAAGAAUGAAACUCAAAGGAAUUGACGGGGGCCCGCACAAGCGGUGGAGCAUGUGGUUUAAUUCGAUGAUACGCGAGGAACCUUACCAAGGCUUAAAUGUAGAUUGACCGGUUUGGAAACAGAUCU
This 617-nucleotide ribosomal RNA is filed under the name Flavobacterium sp. Ri3Ps_5241. Its description in RNAcentral is "bacterial SSU rRNA". It matches the Rfam family "Bacterial small subunit ribosomal RNA", at positions 396 to 1013 of the family's 1533-position model. The record is from RNAcentral. Lineage: Bacteria; Pseudomonadati; Bacteroidota; Flavobacteriia; Flavobacteriales; Flavobacteriaceae.